GACGAGGGGUCCUAGCGUUGUUCGGAAUCACUGGGCGUAAAGCGUAUGUAGGCGGCUUUUCAAGUCAGAUGUGAAAUCCCUUGGCUCAACCAAGGAACUGCAUUUGAAACUGUAAAGCUUGAGUAUCGGAGAGGGUGGCAGAAUUCCUGGUGUAGUGGUGAAAUACGUAGAUAUCAGGAGGAACACCGGUGGCGAAGGCGGCUACCUGGCCGAAUACUGACGCUGAGAUACGAAAGUGCGGGGAUCAAACAGG
RNAcentral lists this ribosomal RNA (253 nucleotides) under uncultured bacterium. RNAcentral describes it as "partial 16S ribosomal RNA". It matches the Rfam family "Bacterial small subunit ribosomal RNA", at positions 524 to 776 of the family's 1533-position model. The record is from RNAcentral.